This 254-nucleotide ribosomal RNA is filed under the name uncultured bacterium. Its description in RNAcentral is "partial 16S ribosomal RNA". It matches the Rfam family "Bacterial small subunit ribosomal RNA", at positions 524 to 776 of the family's 1533-position model. The record is from RNAcentral.
UACGUAGGGUGCGAGCGUUGCCCGGAUUUACUGGGCGUAAAGGGCGCGUAGGCGGCCAGCACAAGUCAGUUGUGAAAUCUCCGAGCUUAACUCGGAACGGUCAACUGAUACUGUGCGGCUAGAGUGCGGAAGGGGCAACUGGAAUUCUUGGUGUAGCGGUGAAAUGCGUAGAUAUCAAGAGGAACACCUGCGGCGAAGGCGGGUUGCUGGGCCGACACUGACGCUGAUGCGCGAAAGCCAGGGGAGCGAACGGG